This 253-nucleotide ribosomal RNA is filed under the name uncultured bacterium. Its description in RNAcentral is "partial 16S ribosomal RNA". It matches the Rfam family "Bacterial small subunit ribosomal RNA", at positions 524 to 776 of the family's 1533-position model. The record is from RNAcentral.
UACGAAGGGGGCUAGCGUUGUUCGGAAUUACUGGGCGUAAAGCGUGCGCAGGCGGCUAUCCAAGUCAGUGGUGAAAGCCCGGAGCUCAACUCCGGAAUUGCCAUUGAAACUGUUUAGCUUGAGUACGAGAGAGGUGAGUGGAAUACCCAGUGUAGAGGUGAAAUUCGUAGAUAUUGGGUAGAACACCGGUGGCGAAGGCGGCUCACUGGCUCGUAACUGACGCUCGGGCACGACAGCGUGGGGAUCAAACAGG